This 388-nucleotide ribosomal RNA is filed under the name uncultured Fusibacter sp. Its description in RNAcentral is "bacterial SSU rRNA". It matches the Rfam family "Bacterial small subunit ribosomal RNA", at positions 998 to 1382 of the family's 1533-position model. Lineage: Bacteria; Bacillati; Bacillota; Clostridia; Eubacteriales; Fusibacteraceae. The record is from RNAcentral.
CUUUUAAUCGAGAUUUUUGCCGUUCGGGUACAAUUGAGACAGGUGGUGCAUGGUUGUCGUCAGCUCGUGUCGUGAGAUGUUGGGUUAAGUCCCGCAACGAGCGCAACCCUUGUGUUUUAGUUGCAAACAGGUCAAGCUGUGCACUCUAGACAGACUGCCGUGGACAACACGGAGGAAGGUGGGGAUGACGUCAAAUCAUCAUGCCCCUUAUGAUCUGGGCUACACACGUGCUACAAUGGCCGGUACAACGGGCAGCGAAGGAGCGAUCCGGAGCGAAUCCUAAAAAGCCGGUCCCAGUUCGGAUUGCAGGCUGAAACUCGCCUACAUGAAGUUGGAGUUGCUAGUAAUCGCGAAUCAGAAUGUCGCGGUGAAUGCGUUCCCGGGUCUU